RNAcentral lists this ribosomal RNA (493 nucleotides) under uncultured bacterium. Its description in RNAcentral is "bacterial SSU rRNA". It matches the Rfam family "Bacterial small subunit ribosomal RNA", at positions 30 to 518 of the family's 1533-position model. The record is from RNAcentral.
UAAACGCUGGCACCAUGCCUAAUACAUGCAUGUCGUACGAGAGUCCUUCGGGACUCGAGUGGCAAAUGGGUGAGUAACACGUAAGGAACUUCCCCUAGCGACGAGGAUAACGGUGGAAACGGCUGCUAAUACUGGAUAGUACAUCGGACCGCAUGAUCUGAUGUUUAAAGGCCCGUUUGGGUCACGCUAGGAUGGCCUUGCGGCGCAUUAGAUAGUUGGUGAGGUAACGGCCCACCAAGUCUAUGAUGCGUAGCUGCACUGAGAGGUGAAACAGCCACAUUGGGACUGAGACACGGCCCAAACUCCUACGGGAGGCAGCAGUAGGGAAUUUUCGGCAAUGAGCGAAAGCUUGACCGAGCAAUGGUGCGUGAGCCGAUGAAGGUCUUUGGAUUGUAAAGCUCUUUUAUUGGGGAAGAAAAACUCGAUUAGGAAAUGAAUCGAAAUUGACGGUACCCAUUGAAUAAGCCCCGGCCAACUAUGUGCCAGCAGCAGC